UGGGGAAUAUUGCACAAUGGGCGCAAGCCUGAUGCAGCCAUGCCGCGUGUAUGAAGAAGGCCUUCGGGUUGUAAAGUACUUUCAGCGGGGAGGAAGGUGUUGAGGCUAAUAACCUCAGCAAUUGACGUUACCCGCAGAAGAAGCACCGGCUAACUCCGUGCCAGCAGCCGCGGUAAUACGGAGGGUGCAAGCGUUAAUCGGAAUUACUGGGCGUAAAGCGCACGCAGGCGGUCUGUCAAGUCGGAUGUGAAAGCCCCGGGCGCAACCUGGGAACUGCAUUCGAGACUGGCAGGCUGGAGUCUUGUAGAGGGGGGUAGAAUUCCAGGGGUAGCGGUGAAAUGCGUAGAGAUCUGGAGGAAUACCGGUGGCGAAGGCGGCCCCCUGGACAAAGACUGACGCUCAGGUGCGAAAGCGUGGGGAGCAAACA
RNAcentral lists this ribosomal RNA (427 nucleotides) under uncultured bacterium. Its description in RNAcentral is "partial 16S ribosomal RNA". It matches the Rfam family "Bacterial small subunit ribosomal RNA", at positions 355 to 774 of the family's 1533-position model. The record is from RNAcentral.